GGCCUAAUAAAAGGAGUUAAUAGCCACGGCAACAAUGGGAAACAUGAAUCCCCCAAUAUGUAUUGGGGAAUUGAAUUGCUUUCACUAAGCUGAUAACAAGCCCCGUUUAGUAACUCCCUUGAUCCUUCCACACGAGAAUAGAGCUUUGUUUGGGUGAAGAUGGAUUCCGGCUUCAUUGUGCAAGGCCACCCAGCAGAGAUGUCCAAGAACCUGCCCUCAGAAUCCACCAACGCCUGAACUAACAAGGACCCAUUUUUCCCCAGCAGCUCACUAUCAACCCCAAAUUUCCCAAACCCCAAAACCACACAACAAUUAGGGAGAGAAAUCCAUUCAAAUCCCAUCACUAUGCGCUCCAAAUCCCUCCCAAAGUCCACCAAGUCCCCCAAUUUCUCGUUCACUGUUUUACAAACAGAGUAAAACGCUAGGCACGCGGCGGCAGGUGAAUCAAGUCCAAAUCUAGGCGCUACUGAUUCGUAAGACGCGCCGUGGGCUUGUUUGGUCAAGUGCUUGUUUUGAUUUCUUGGUCUUCCGGGUUUGCAUUUUGGGGCGGAUUUGGGGCUUAUAGGAGCUUUCUGGGCAGUAGAUUUGGAGGAUCCGCCGGCGGCAGCCAUAGAGAUG
This 618-nucleotide unclassified non-coding RNA is filed under the name Hevea brasiliensis (rubber tree). Lineage: Eukaryota; Viridiplantae; Streptophyta; Magnoliopsida; Malpighiales; Euphorbiaceae. The record is from RNAcentral.